RNAcentral lists this ribosomal RNA (253 nucleotides) under Enterobacter cloacae. Its description in RNAcentral is "partial 23S ribosomal RNA". It matches the Rfam family "Bacterial large subunit ribosomal RNA", at positions 2695 to 2925 of the family's 2925-position model. The record is from RNAcentral. Lineage: Bacteria; Pseudomonadati; Pseudomonadota; Gammaproteobacteria; Enterobacterales; Enterobacteriaceae. RNAcentral also lists the same sequence under 2 other names.
GAGUGGACGCAUCACUGGUGUUCGGGUUGUCAUGCCAAUGGCACUGCCCGGUAGCUAAAUGCGGAAGAGAUAAGUGCUGAAAGCAUCUAAGCACGAAACUUGCCCCGAGAUGAGUUCUCCCUGAGACCUUGAGUCUCCUGAAGGAACGUUGAAGACGACGACGUUGAUAGGUCGGGUGUGUAAGCGCAGCGAUGCGUUGAGCUAACCGAUACUAAUGAACCGUGAGGCUUAACCUUACAACGCCGAAGCUGUU